RNAcentral lists this long non-coding RNA (241 nucleotides) under Salvia miltiorrhiza (redroot sage). RNAcentral's name for it is "long non-coding RNA (SMIL_LNC002186)". The record is from RNAcentral. Lineage: Eukaryota; Viridiplantae; Streptophyta; Magnoliopsida; Lamiales; Lamiaceae.
CACAUUUCUUCUCGAGAGAUUGUCACACGUCGGAAUUCUGUUCUUCAAAAUUCUCCAUACGGUAAGCUUGACUUUGUUUGGAAUAGGGAUCUUCCACACCUUCGUACUCAUAUCAGUUUCCUCCACCGCCUCCGUAGUCUCGUUUGCUUGAUCUUUAAUAGCUUCAUAAGCAGACUUGGUUGUAAAGCCUCUCCCGAUGUCGCCACUCCAUGUCCAUCCGUCCUUGUUACCUGCACACAGA